Molecule: long non-coding RNA, 794 nt
Filed under: Salmo salar (Atlantic salmon)
Lineage: Eukaryota; Metazoa; Chordata; Actinopteri; Salmoniformes; Salmonidae
Description: lncRNA (ENSSSAG00000094650.1)
Source: RNAcentral
CCGGGAAAAAACAUUUGCGGGGUGUGACGUAAUAUGGAGGACCCGAUGCCUGCAGUCCUGUUCUGUUAGCAUACAAUGAGUCUCUCAGCCACAUAACGGGAGGGGGAAGUCAAGCUGGGAGGACAUGGACAGUGAGAGUCAAAGGAUGCAGAAAGGGAGGAGAAGGCGGUGUUCUUCGGCAGGAAGUGCAGCAUCAGAGAGUGGUACGCCUCUAGCCCUGAUGUCUGGUAGUCAGUGGAUAGUUGAGAGAUGUCCUUCAGGAUCAAGGCCCCAUGUAGAAUAUUCUCCAACCCCACUGAGGAGUCACAUGACCAGUAGAGGUGGUUGAUAAUGGAGUUCUGCCACAGCCCAACAUCAUCGCGUGGAUUUUCUUGCCUGCAGCUAAUCCCAGUAGAAAACAGCAGUGAAUGUCCCAAACAUUGCAGAGUGCCUGGGACUAUCACUCCUUCAAUCUGCUGCCAAGACCAGAUCUCCACCCAUUUCCUGGAGGGUUUUGAUGGUGCCACUCUGCUUGACAUCCCAUGUCUUGAGGACUGCUGACUCAAGGUGACGGAAGAAUGUGCUGCGGUGAAUGGUGGCCACUCCCAUCUUGUCGAGCUUUCAGAGGACUUUGGUCGGCAUACACCCUCAAAUCAAAUCAAACUUUAUUUGCCACAUGCGCCGAAUACAACAACUGUAGACUUUACCGUGAAAUGCUUACUUACAAGCCCUUAACCAACAGUGCAGUUCAAGAAGAAGAAAAUAUUUACCAAGUAGGCUAAAAUAAAAAGUAACACAAUUAGAAUAACAAAACG